UACGUAGGGCGCAAGCGUUGUCCGGAAUUAUUGGGCGUAAAGAGCUCGUAGGCGGUUUGUCGCGUCUGCUGUGAAAACUCAAGGCUCAACCUUGGGCUUGCAGUGGGUACGGGCAGACUAGAGUGCGGUAGGGGUGACUGGAAUUCCUGGUGUAGCGGUGGAAUGCGCAGAUAUCAGGAGGAACACCGAUGGCGAAGGCAGGUCACUGGGCCGCAACUGACGCUGAGGAGCGAAAGCAUGGGGAGCGAACAGG
This 253-nucleotide ribosomal RNA is filed under the name uncultured bacterium. Its description in RNAcentral is "partial 16S ribosomal RNA". It matches the Rfam family "Bacterial small subunit ribosomal RNA", at positions 524 to 776 of the family's 1533-position model. RNAcentral also lists the same sequence under 1 other name. The record is from RNAcentral.